AGCAGCCGCGGUAAUUCCAGCUCCAAUAGCGUAUAUUAAAGUUGCUGCAGUUAAAAAGCUCGUAGUUGAAUUUCGGGAUCAAUUAGUCGGUCGUGCCUCUGGUACGUACUGGUUUUAUUGGUUCCUCCCUUCUGACGAAACAUGAUGUCAUUAAUUUGGUGUCGUGGAGAAUCAGGACUGUUACCUUGAAAAAUUAGAGUGUUUAUAGCAGGCUAACGCUUGAAUACAUUAGCAUGGAAUAAUGAAAUAGGACGUUCGACCCUAUUUUGUUGGUUUCUAGGAUCGACGUAAUGAUUAAUAGGGAUAGUUGGGGGCAUUAGUAUUCAAUUGUCAGAGGUGAAAUUCUUGGAUUUAUUGAAGACUAACUACUGCGAAAGCAUUUGCCAAGGAUGUUUUCAUUAAUCAAGAACGAAAGUUAGGGGAUCGAAGACGAUCAGAUACCGUCGUAGUCUUAACCAUAAACUAUGCCGACUAGGGAUCGGAUGAUGUUAAUUUUU
This 497-nucleotide unclassified non-coding RNA is filed under the name uncultured Glomus. RNAcentral describes it as "SSU rRNA". It matches the Rfam family "Eukaryotic small subunit ribosomal RNA", at positions 569 to 1071 of the family's 1831-position model. Lineage: Eukaryota; Fungi; Glomeromycota; Glomeromycetes; Glomerales; Glomeraceae. The record is from RNAcentral.